RNAcentral lists this ribosomal RNA (392 nucleotides) under uncultured bacterium. Its description in RNAcentral is "bacterial SSU rRNA". It matches the Rfam family "Bacterial small subunit ribosomal RNA", at positions 28 to 417 of the family's 1533-position model. The record is from RNAcentral.
AACGAACGUUGGCGGCAUGGAUCAGGCAUGCAAGUCGAACGAAUCCCAGGGGGGUAACUCUCUGGGGGAAGUGGCGAAAGGGGCAGUAAGGCGUGGGUAACCUGCCCCGGACUUCGGGAUAGCCUUCCUAACGGAUGGGUAAUACCGAAUGUCGUAGCGUGGGGGCAUCCCCGUGCUACGAAAGCUCCGGCGGUCCGGGAGGGGCUCACGUGGUAUUAGCUAGUUGGUGAGGUGACGGCUCACCAAGGCCAAGAUGCCUAGCAGGUGUGAGAGCACGACCUGCGCCACUGGCACUGUGACACUGGCCAGACUCCUACGGGAGGCUGCAGUCGAGGAUCUUCGGCAAUGGGCGAAAGCCUGACCGAGCGAUGCCGCGUGUGCGAUGAAGGCCU